UACGGGGGGUGCGAGCGUUGUCCGGAAUCACUGGGCGUAAAGGGCGCGUAGGUGGCGUCGUAAGUCUGUGGUGAAAGCCCGGAGCUCAACUCCGGGUCUGCCGCGGAUACUGCGAGGCUUGAGUGCUGUAGAGGGGGGUAGAAUGCCGGGUGUAGCGGUGGAAUGCGUAGAGAUCCGGCAGAAGACCGGUGGCGAAGGCGGCCCCCUGGGCAGUAACUGACACUGAGGCGCGACAGCGUGGGGAGCGAACAGG
RNAcentral lists this ribosomal RNA (253 nucleotides) under uncultured bacterium. RNAcentral describes it as "partial 16S ribosomal RNA". It matches the Rfam family "Bacterial small subunit ribosomal RNA", at positions 524 to 776 of the family's 1533-position model. The record is from RNAcentral.